GAUGAAGAACGUAGCGAAAUGCGAUAAGUAAUGCGAAUUGCAGAUUUCAGUGAGUCAUCGAAUCUUUGAACGCGCAUUGCGCCCGCCAGUAUUCUGGCGGGCAUGCCUGUUCGAGCGUCAUUUCAACCAUCAAGCCCCCGGGCUUGCGUUGGGGCCCUGCGGCUGCCGCAGGCCCCGAAAAGCAGUGGCGGGCUCGCUGUCACACCGAGCGCAGUAGCGAUUCUCGCUCCGGGCGUCGGCGGCGGGCACCGGCCGUGAAACCCCCCCACAUCCACAAGGUUGACCUCGGAUCAGGUAGGAAUACCCGCUGAACUUAAGCAUAUCAAUAAGCGGAGGA
RNAcentral lists this unclassified non-coding RNA (337 nucleotides) under soil metagenome. Its description in RNAcentral is "partial contains 5.8S ribosomal RNA, internal transcribed spacer 2, and large subunit ribosomal RNA". The stretch from base 1 to 120 matches the Rfam family "5.8S ribosomal RNA", at positions 35 to 154 of the family's 154-position model. The record is from RNAcentral.